Molecule: long non-coding RNA, 623 nt
Organism: Bradysia coprophila
Lineage: Eukaryota; Metazoa; Arthropoda; Insecta; Diptera; Sciaridae
Source: RefSeq, a predicted model, not a curated record
UGAAUCAACUCCAUUCACCGGUACCGGUUCAUGUGGACGAAAGUUAUAUUGGACAAAUGUUUGGUAAUUUAGGUCAAGUACUCGAAUUCAAAAAAAUGGCUGAUUCUUGUUUAUUAAAUCGUGGCACCAUAAAGCAUCGGAUUUAUGACGGAUUAAAAAUAAAUAAGGAUAAAGACACUUCGCCACGCUAUGUGGUAUUUUUCGUCCCCCGGAAGUAUGGCACUACGGAGAAUAUGGAGACAGUCCAAAUGAGUUUUCACAUGUGCCUCUUUAUCGUCAGGAAUCAUGCCAAAAAAAACGAUGCCAUAUACUUCGACCCUUCAACAAAGGCAUAUUCGCAUGGACUGCCAAAGAUUCUUGAUGACUUAAUUGAUCCGCGUUUUCAAUCUUUCACAAACAAAUUUGGCACUGCUUCAGAAAAGAAUGAUUGCAUGCUACAAUGCAUGCAAUACAUUAUUGGAAUGGCAAUGGGAGAGAUUCCGUUUUCACCAGACCUUUCGGAGCCGAGUACAAAGCGUGGUAAAUACCAACUGGAAAGAGCUGCUGGAAAUAAAAAAAUGAAAUUUGAAUAGCAUCCCAAGUCGUUAACUAAUAAAAAAUGCCAAAUGAUACACCUUUGUUAA